AACGAACGCUGGCGGCAUGCCUAACACAUGCAAGUCGAACGAGACCUUCGGGUCUAGUGGCGCACGGGUGCGUAACGCGUGGGAAUCUGCCCUUGGGUUCGGGAUACCAGUUUGAAACGUCUCCUAAUACCGGAUGAUGACUUCGGUCCAAAGAUUUCUCGCCCAGUGAUGAGCCCGAGUCGGAUUCGCUAGUUGGUGAGGUAUUAGCUCACCAAGGCGACGAUCCGUAGGUGGUCUGAGAGGAUGCUCAGCCACACUGGGCCUGAGACACGGCCCAGAAUGCUACGGGAGGCAGCAGUGGGGAAUAUUGGACAAUGGGCGAAAGCCUGAUCAAGCAAUGCCGCGUGAGUGAUGAAGGCCUUAGGGUUGUAAAGCUCUUUUACCCGGGAUGAUAAUGACAGUACCGGGAGAAUAAGCCCCGGCUAACUCCGUG
This 433-nucleotide ribosomal RNA is filed under the name uncultured bacterium. RNAcentral describes it as "partial 16S ribosomal RNA". It matches the Rfam family "Bacterial small subunit ribosomal RNA", at positions 29 to 507 of the family's 1533-position model. The record is from RNAcentral.